GAGGAGCGAAAGCGUGGGGAGCGAACAGGAUUAGAUACCCUGGUAGUCCACGCCGUAAACGAUGAGUGCUAAGUGUUAGGGGGUUUCCGCCCCUUAGUGCUGCAGCUAACGCAUUAAGCACUCCGCCUGGGGAGUACGGUCGCAAGACUGAAACUCAAAGGAAUUGACGGGGGCCCGCACAAGCGGUGGAGCAUGUGGUUUAAUUCGAAGCAACGCGAAGAACCUUACCAGGUCUUGACAUCCUCUGACAAUCCUAGAGAUAGGACGUCCCCUUCGGGGGCAGAGUGACAGGUGGUGCAUGGUUGUCGUCAGCUCGUGUCGUGAGAUGUUGGGUUAAGUCCCGCAACGAGCGCAACCCUUGAUCUUAGUUGCCAGCAUUCAGUUGGGCACUCUAAGGUGACUGCCGGUGACAAACCGGAGGAAGGUGGGGAUGACGUCAAAUCAUCAUGCCCCUUAUGACCUGGGCUACACACGUGCUACAAUGGACAGAACAAAGGGCAGCGAAACCGCGAGGUUAAGCCAAUCCCACAAAUCUGUUCUCAGUUCGGAUCGCAGUCUGCAACUCGACUGCGUGAAGCUGGAAUCGCUAGUAAUCGCGGAUC
Molecule: ribosomal RNA, 602 nt
Filed under: Bacillus subtilis
Lineage: Bacteria; Bacillati; Bacillota; Bacilli; Caryophanales; Bacillaceae
Description: bacterial SSU rRNA
Rfam family: Bacterial small subunit ribosomal RNA
Source: RNAcentral